This 387-nucleotide ribosomal RNA is filed under the name uncultured bacterium. RNAcentral describes it as "bacterial SSU rRNA". It matches the Rfam family "Bacterial small subunit ribosomal RNA", at positions 28 to 416 of the family's 1533-position model. The record is from RNAcentral.
GACGAACGCUGGCGGCGUGCUUAACACAUGCAAGUCGAGCGGUAAGGCCCUUUCGGGGGUACACGAGCGGCGAACGGGUGAGUAACACGUGGGUGACCUGCCUCUAGCUCUGGGAUAAGCCUGGGAAGCUGGGUCUAAUACCGGAUAUGACCUCGCGGUGCAUGUUGCGGGGUGGAAAGCCUUGUGCGGCUAGGGAUGGGCCCGCGGCCUAUCAGCUUGUUGGUGGGGUGANGGCCUACCAAGGCGACGACGGGUAGCCGGCCUGAGAGGGCGACCGGCCACACUGGGACUGAGACACGGCCCAGGCUCCUACGGGAGGCAGCAGUGGGGAAUCUUGCGCAAUGGGCGAAAGCCUGACGCAGCGACGCCGCGUGAGGGAUGACGGCC